RNAcentral lists this ribosomal RNA (479 nucleotides) under uncultured bacterium. RNAcentral's name for it is "partial 16S ribosomal RNA". It matches the Rfam family "Bacterial small subunit ribosomal RNA", at positions 28 to 507 of the family's 1533-position model. The record is from RNAcentral.
GAUGAACGCUGGCGGCGUGCUUAACACAUGCAAGUCGAACGAAGCACUUAAGAUUGAUUCUUCGGAUGACGUCUUUUGUGACUUAGUGGCGGACGGGUGAGUAACGCGUGGGUAACCUGCCUCACACAGGGGGAUAACAGUUAGAAAUGACUGCUAAUACCGCAUAACCCGAUAGGAUCGCAUGAUCCAGACGGAAAAGAUUUAUCGGUGUGAGAUGGACCCGCGUCUGAUUAGCUAGUUGGUGAGGUAACGGCCCACCAAGGCGACGAUCAGUAGCCGGCCUGAGAGGGUGAACGGCCACAUUGGGACUGAGACACGGCCCAAACUCCUACGGGAGGCAGCAGUGGGGAAUAUUGCACAAUGGGGGAAACCCUGAUGCAGCGACGCCGCGUGAGUGAAGAAGUAUUUCGGUGUGUAAAGCUCUAUCAGCAGGGAAGAAAAUGACGGUACCUGACUAAGAAGCCCCGGCUAACUACGUG